This 387-nucleotide ribosomal RNA is filed under the name uncultured bacterium. Its description in RNAcentral is "bacterial SSU rRNA". It matches the Rfam family "Bacterial small subunit ribosomal RNA", at positions 29 to 407 of the family's 1533-position model. The record is from RNAcentral.
AUUGAACGCUGGCGGAAUGCUUUACACAUGCAAGUCGAGCGGCAGCGCGGGGCAACCUGGCGGCGAGCGGCGAACGGGUGAGUAAUGCAUCGGAACGUACCCAGUCGUGGGGGAUAACUGUCCGAAAGGACAGCUAAUACCGCAUACGUCCUGAGGGAGAAAGCGGGGGAUCGCAAAGACCUCGCGCGAUUGGAGCGGCCGAUGCCGGAUUAGCUAGUUGGUAGGGUAAAGGCCUACCAAGGCGACGAUCCGUAGCUGGUCUGAGAGGACGACCAGCCACACUGGAACUGAGACACGGUCCAGACUCCUACGGGAGGCAGCAGUGGGGAAGUUUUUGGUACGAAAUAGGGGGGCGAACCCCGUGAAUCCAGCCAUUCCGCGUGAGUG